Bombus huntii is the source of this 2037-nucleotide long non-coding RNA. RefSeq lists it as uncharacterized. The transcript is spliced from 2 exons. Lineage: Eukaryota; Metazoa; Arthropoda; Insecta; Hymenoptera; Apidae. The record is from RefSeq and is a predicted model, not a curated record.
UUUUCGGCUAACCUGCUAUGUGCAGGGAUACUGGCACGGGAGAGGAUUAAAGCUGGUAACAAUAAAUAUUUGUCCGCGUUGAACGGAUUUUUAUUUGAAUGUAGAAUUGCUUAGAUUGUUACCUUUAUAUAUAUUUUAUUAGCUGGAUAUAUAUAUUUUAGCGUUGCUGGAUUGGAUAGGAAUGUGAGAUUUUUCGUUGUUUUAUAUAAAUUUAUUUUUACCUUUGACUUCUUCUUCUCUUUUAGUUUCGCUGUAGUAGUUUGCCGUUAGAACCGAAACUCAAUUCAUUUACCCCGAUGGAUUCUGUCGCCACGAUUUUCUUGCCUUUUGAGUUUAGCUAUCGAGGAUAAUUCUAACGAUCCUCUCUGUGUGGGACUCGUGUGAUUUCGCAAGCCUUGCCCAAAGACGGGUAAUAUUUUACCAACAGUGGGAGGAGGAAUGCGAAGAUCGAUGGGUGUUUUCGAUAAUCGAAAAGACCGUUUGCACAAGCCAACACAGCGAACGAUCCUUUGGUUAAAUUUUCGAAGGGAAAUUGUUCUGCUAUUUCUCUGUUACAAUCGCAUGCAACGAUGGCAAGAAUAUCGGUUAAUAGCAAUGCCGGUAUUGCUUUUAAUUUUCGAUUGACCCCGACGAUGUAUUUAAUAGUCCUUUCUGUGCGGGAUUUGUGUGAUUUCGCAAGCCUUGCCCAAAGACGGGCAAUAUUUUGCCAACAAUGGGAGGAGGAAUGCGAAGAUCAGUGGGUGUUUCAGUAGCUGAAAACACCGUUCGCACAAGCCGACACAGCGGACAAUUCCUUUGUUUAAAGUUUAAACAAUGAUUCUAUCUUCAAAACCAUUCACGAAAAUAAAACGAGAUCGAUGAUAGGAAGUUCUAAUUCGAUUCUCGAGGGCAACGAGAUUAUCAGAGAAGAAGGAAAUUUUCAAAAUUAAUUUUCUUACCUUGAGGAGUAGGUGCUGUCUGGUGCCAUUACCUCAGCUGCUCCGGUGGUCGUCGAAGUUUUUGUUGGGUUUAUUAUUUGAACUCGAAUAUAGUUUAUUAUCAACUCUUACUUUAUUUAUCUAUUUUAAUACAGACUGGGCAAUUUACUAACUGGAUUAAUACCGCAAUUACAAUGCGCGUUUGUGUCUAAACGAUAAAAUGAGGACUUCAAAGAUAAAAUCUUUCUUUUACUUAGUCGCGGUUCUCUUUUCUUGACCGAAAAACUAAAGACCCCGAAACGCAAAAUACUAUACAAAAUUUCUAAACGUAAUGAUGAGCGCAAUACCGAACGUAGUAACAAUGAACACAAAAUAUAAUGAACAAAGAAUAAUGAACGUAAUAAGAAUGUUCACCAGAAUAAUAAUGAGCCGUAAUAACAAAUGAUCACAAGAAUUAUGAACACAAAGAAUGAUUAAAAUAAUAAUGAGCACUAAGAAUGAACAAAAAUAAUGAGCGCUGCUCUAUGUUGCUUCGCUUAUUUAUAAUGCCAUCCCCCACGGGGUGGUGGUCAACUGGGGGUACGCUUCCGUGGGAAUCGGGAUGUUGCAGUUUGAGUUUCUUGGAAUCGUACGUGACAAAAUGUAAAUUCCAUAUUUCGACUUAGUUUCUAUCGGUCCUGUGUUUCUGCUGAGCUAGCGUCUAGGAGGCUUGAAGCAUUCCAUGCUGAUUUAGUCUUUUCCGCGAGAAACUUCUAAGUUUUGUACCGUGGGAAUUACCCGUGUUUCUUCGGCGCAUGCAAGGGCUGGCGGCCGCAGCAUCAUUAUCACUUCGAUGCUCGCUCGGGCAACACGCGCAACUCCGCUGCUCUCCCACAACAAGGACCUCCUUCUUUGAGUUAUUAUUCGCUUCGGUGAUCGACGUUCGGACAAUGUUUGCGGAGGCAUUUCCAUCACAGGUUCCUUAUUAUUAUUAUUUUUAGAUGUAUUUUGUUUUAUGUACGAUGUAUAUAUAUAUAUAUAUAUAUAUAUAUAUAUAUAUAUAUAUAUAUAUAUAUAUAUAUAUAUAUAUAUUUUAAAUGUGUUAUCAAUUUUGUGUUUGUUAAAUAUAUUUAAUUUUAUA